RNAcentral lists this ribosomal RNA (415 nucleotides) under Streptomyces griseus. RNAcentral describes it as "bacterial SSU rRNA". It matches the Rfam family "Bacterial small subunit ribosomal RNA", at positions 20 to 439 of the family's 1533-position model. Lineage: Bacteria; Bacillati; Actinomycetota; Actinomycetes; Kitasatosporales; Streptomycetaceae. The record is from RNAcentral.
UGGCUCAGGACGAACGCUGGCGGCGUGCUUAACACAUGCAAGUCGAACGAUGAAGCCCUUCGGGGUGGAUUAGUGGCGAACGGGUGAGUAACACGUGGGCAAUCUGCCCUUCACUCUGGGACAAGCCCUGGAAACGGGGUCUAAUACCGGAUAACACUCUGUCCCGCAUGGGACGGGGUUAAAAGCUCCGGCGGUGAAGGAUGAGCCCGCGGCCUAUCAGCUUGUUGGUGGGGUAAUGGCCUACCAAGGCGACGACGGGUAGCCGGCCUGAGAGGGCGACCGGCCACACUGGGACUGAGACACGGCCCAGACUCCUACGGGAGGCAGCAGUGGGGAAUAUUGCACAAUGGGCGAAAGCCUGAUGCAGCGACGCCGCGUGAGGGAUGACGGCCUUCGGGUUGUAAACCUCUUUCAG